AUUGAACGCUGGCGGCAGGCCUAACACAUGCAAGUCGAGCGAGCGGCGGACGGGUGAGUAAUGUCUGGGAAACUGCCUGAUGGAGGGGGAUAACUACUGGAAACGGUAGCUAAUACCGCAUACCAUCAGAUGUGCCCAGAUGGGAUUAGCUAGUAGGGGGGGUAACGGCUCACCUAGGCGACGAUCCCUAGCUGGUCUGAGCGGAUGACCAGCCACACUGGAACUGGGAACGGGUCCAGACUCCUAGGGGGGGCAGCAGUGGGGAAUAUUGCACAAUGGGCGCAAGCCUGAUGCAGCCAUGCCGGGUGUGUGAAGAAGGCCUUCGGGUUGUAAAGCACUUUCAGCGGGGAGGCGUUACCCGCAGAAGAAGCACCGGCUAACUCCGUGCCAGCCGCCGCGGUAAUC
RNAcentral lists this ribosomal RNA (405 nucleotides) under uncultured bacterium. RNAcentral describes it as "partial 16S ribosomal RNA". It matches the Rfam family "Bacterial small subunit ribosomal RNA", at positions 29 to 525 of the family's 1533-position model. The record is from RNAcentral.